GAGAUAAUACUUAUAAAAUGUACCAUGUCUGAGAUGUAGUAGGCACUUAAUAAACUCUUGUUUUCUCCCUACUAAAGGUCUUCUGUGGAUGACACAUGAUUUAUUGGGCAUGUUGUAGAGGAGAUGCUUAAUUAGAUAUGGAUUAAAUUUGGUGGUCAAGAAGAUCCUUUCCAGCUCUGAAACUGUGAUUCUCUUGUGUAUCUUUUUCAUAAAAAGAAUGUGGCCAGUGGAAGAGCAAAGUCUUGAUAGUCAGGGGACCUAUGUUCAAAUCCUGUCUCGUAUUCUCAGAAUGACCUUGGGAAGAGCACUUAUUCCUCUGAGUGACAGUUUCUUCCUUCAUAAAAUGAAGACGCUGGAUCUCAUGGGCUCUCUUCUAGUUUUAUUCCAAGAGCACAAAACAGAACAUAAAUGAGGAAGUGUCUUACUUGGACAUGAAACUGACAUUGAGGCUUGAAGGGAGGUAGAGAGUCCAAGAAGCAGAGAUGAAGAAGGAUGCCAUUCCAAGCAUGGGGGACAACUUAUGCAAUGUCAGGAAGGUGACAUGGAAAUCUGCAUGUGGAACAUUGUGUAGGAGAAAAAAUUAUUCCCAAAGAGCUGCUUCCUCCUGUAAGAAAUACUUCGUAAAUCUACUCCUUCAACAAGACAACUCAAGACUUUAUCAUCACACUAGUAACCAAGAAGGUCUUGAGAAGCAACAGGUUGAGAAACUACUUUGGAAAGAAACUUGA
Molecule: long non-coding RNA, 728 nt
Filed under: Monodelphis domestica (gray short-tailed opossum)
Lineage: Eukaryota; Metazoa; Chordata; Mammalia; Didelphimorphia; Didelphidae
Description: lncRNA (ENSMODG00000049032.1)
Source: RNAcentral